AUUGAACGCUGGCGGCAGGCCUAACACAUGCAAGUCGAACGGUAGCACAGAGAGCUUGCUCUUGGGUGACGAGUGGCGGACGGGUGAGUAAUGUCUGGGAAACUGCCCGAUGGAGGGGGAUAACUACUGGAAACGGUAGCUAAUACCGCAUAACGUCUUCGGACCAAAGUGGGGGACCUUCGGGCCUCACACCAUCGGAUGUGCCCAGAUGGGAUUAUCUAGUAGGUGGGGUAAAGGCUCACCUAGGCGACGAUCCCUAGCUGGUCUGAGAGGAUGACUAGCCACACUGGAACUGAGACACGGUCCAGACUCCUACGGGAGGCAGCAGUGGGGAAUAUUGCACAAUGGGCGCAAGCCUGAUGCAGCCAUGCCGCGUGUAUGAAGAAGGCCUUCGGGUUGUAAAGUACUUUCAGCGGGGAGGAAGGCGUUAAGGUUAAUAACCUUGGCGAUUGACGUUACCCGCAGAAGAAGCACCGGCUAACUCCGUGCCAGCCGCCGCAGUAA
RNAcentral lists this ribosomal RNA (504 nucleotides) under uncultured bacterium. RNAcentral describes it as "partial 16S ribosomal RNA". It matches the Rfam family "Bacterial small subunit ribosomal RNA", at positions 30 to 523 of the family's 1533-position model. The record is from RNAcentral.